UGAUUUUCAACGAAGAAACUCUGGUGGUAUUAAAAUAAAUUAAUCAAGUGUGCUUGCACCAGGAUUCAUGCGGUAAAGGAAUGCGGUACAUUUUGCAUUCCAAAUUAGUUGACCGUCGGUCGGACUGUUUAAUUAAGUGUACCGGGUGCAAGACACGGUUUCUCAAUCGAUAUGACCUGGCAUACCCGGCACCGAUGUAGCCGGAUGUGACGACAGCUUCGCCAGGGCCUCGAAAUAGACAGAAGAAAUACUCAAGAAUCGUCCGCAUUGACCAGAAAUCAAAGGAGAAAUCGAUAUCAACGGAUGUGACCAAGCAACAAAAAGUAAAAAAAAAGUUGAUCUUGGAAGUAACAGACGGUUUAUUUGAUUAAACACAGUCCAAUGGUGACAAUAACUGUACAAUAAUUCAAAACUGUAUCAAUAACGCCUGUAAUAUGGAUCAGCUGCGUAAAGAUCGCUCCACGUGAUCCACGUAGAUGUCGUCCAGGGUCUCCUACGACGCUUACCGUCGAGACACUCCGUAUCAGCUCCCUGUCUGCCGUUGUUCCUCUCGUAGAAGUCGUAAUCGGACCCCGUGUCAUAGUAUACAGGAUUGCCCAUGUCCAUAUCUCUGGAGUCACGAUCGCUCAACUCACAGUUGUCUCUUUCAGCUCCAUAGGGUGCUGCGUAAGGACGAUAAUUGAAAGAUCUGCACACGAAGUCCCUGGCGUCCGCACAUUCCCUUUCACACUGGGCCAGAGAGGAAGCUGUCGUGUAUCGUCUGACGAACGGUUUACGGACCCUCGUGUGUGGACCCACUUGGCGAAAGUUGUCCUGUUCGUCGCAUCUGGACACCAAUGGCGGUCGACCGAUGAUGGGACCACCACUGGUGCCGAAAGGUCGUGAAUUGUACACUCCACCUUCGCCUAUGUAACCACCGCCGAUUAUUCCACCGUCGUUGCUGUAACCACCGUAACCUAGAGGACGUGUGGACCCUCCUACGCCAUAGGGAUUACGGUCUGGAUGAGCUUGGGGACCAUAGACGUCGUCCACAGGAUGAUCCUGCGCCCGUCCCGUUGGUUGAACCGGCUCAAUUGACACGUGUGAAGAUGUUCGGAGUACACGGCGCUUCGACAUUGGAAGCUGGUCUGUCGAAGACACUCGUCAAGGCACUCGCUCAGACUACGCCCAGUUAUCUCAGAAUGAAAUUCAGUGCUCAAACGAGAGUUUCGAUAACGCUGGAACGCUGUGUCUGGUCGUCGCCCAUCGGAGAAAAGAUGCGACGAGGGACUGCUGUCCGGGUAUUCGGAGCCACGUGCUAUGGAUGGAUCUACGCUUCGUAAGUGGAUAUUGGUAAAGUGUCGUGAAGUAUUAAUCGAUCGUUUCACUGUUACUUUACUUUGGACUUGGAAAAAAUGAUCAGAUGUUCUCGUCUUUUGUAAAAUCCUUUCUUUUCAAAAUUUGGAUAUUAUUGUUUUAUUGUUAAAAAGUAAAAAUGUUCUAAUAUAGAUAUUGAUAUUUAUACUAGAAUUUUGUACUUUUAUUGUGCUUAGAUUGUAUAUUUGGUAAAUUUAUAGCUUUCAUUGUAACAUAAAUGUUUAUUAUAAUUUGAAUGAUUAAAUUUUUAAAAAUGGUAUAAAUUAAUGAAUGAAUUAUGAAAAAUUUUGAACGAAGUCACUGAUAGUAUAAUAUACUUACGAUUAUCCAAACAAACCAAAUCAUAGAAAUGAUGGCUGGGACUGCUGCUUAUUCCGAUAUCGUCUUUUUGAGAAACGGAAUCUUCUUCAGAAAUGACACAUUGCCUCGUUUGCUCGUCGAAUUCGACGCUUCGACAGAAGUAUUUCUCCGCUCUGAGACAAAGGGCUUGACACUCGUCUAAGGUAAGAUUCGUGUAAAUGUCGACUUCGAAUGGUCCUCGAAGGCGUUUGUUCUCUUCUUUGACGAAUACAGUUAACCCAUCGCAACGACGUUCCGCUGAUAAAUUACAAAAUUCGAAUUUCUUCGGUCAAAAGUGAUAAAUUAUAAAAAUUCAAUAUUUGGAUAAUUUAAAUAUUUUUUUUAUUAAUUAUGAAAUCAUUAAUUUUCAGAAAGAAGGAUAAUAUUAAUUGUAAGCACCAUUCAGACAAGUGUUUUCAAGGUAAUCAGAAUUUGGAUCAUCCUCUAAUAAUUCAGGAUGCGUUCUUCUAGUGAAACGACUCAGAGCACAGCUUCUUAGAGCAGUGUCGUAGGUUGCAGAUCGACAAAUGAAACUGAACUCGUUCAGACAUCUUCAAAAUUUUCUUCCUGGGAUGUCUCUCGAAAACAUAACGCCGAUUUGGACAUUCUCUUUCUAUCCUAUCAGCUUCACAAAAGAAUAUGAACAUUGAAAUAUUUAAACAGAAAAAGGUACAGAAAUUUGUUUUCUUUUAAUUAAAUGAAAGAGUAAAUUUAAUUAAUUUAUAUAAUUUCAUCGAUGAAUUAAUUAUUUCUUUUUCUAUAAAGUUAAAAAUUAUUGAGAAAGGAGAUCAAAAGUUAAAAUGAUGGUCUGUUUCACAAUACUCGAGAAUUAUUAAGGAGAUACAUUCUUACAGCCAAGA
Molecule: long non-coding RNA, 2555 nt
Organism: Apis florea (little honeybee)
Lineage: Eukaryota; Metazoa; Arthropoda; Insecta; Hymenoptera; Apidae
Source: RefSeq, a predicted model, not a curated record